RNA transcript from Dama dama (fallow deer), 3753 nucleotides. It is a transcript of the gene named ataxin 7 like 2, with no coding region annotated. Lineage: Eukaryota; Metazoa; Chordata; Mammalia; Artiodactyla; Cervidae. The transcript is spliced from 12 exons. The record is from RefSeq and is a predicted model, not a curated record.
CCGCGGCGGUGAUGGCGGUGCGUGAACGCGCGGCGGCAGCAAUGGCCGCUCUGGAGCGGCGGGUGCCGAGUCUCGAUGACUUCGCGGGACAGAGCUGGAGCUCGUGGGUGGAGCGGGCCGAGCUGCCCGCGGCCGACGGGGGCAUCUGGCCUCGUGGCCUUUGGGGUGACAGCAGGCAUCACGCCCCAGAAGAAGUUUGCAAGUGAGAAGAGGUGGAGGAGGAGACCACAUGGAGCCGUCUCUGAUGACACUUGUUCUCCUCUGAGACAUCCAACUCCCAGCUCAGUUCUGUUCAUCACUGCAUUUUAACGGACUUCAGAGUGGAGGCUGCCCCUUGUCUCUUGCAUACCUAACCCACCACCCCUCACAUCUGGAGAUUAUAUAAGACUGUCAGUAUUCUCAUUCUAGAAAGGGGCAAGUCUGUUAGUAGGUGUCAGAAGCAGACCUAAGUGGGAGCCUCAGGCCACCCUAGAACUGCCCCAUGCUGGGUGGGCAAGGAUGGGGCCAUUGUCAGGGUCUGGGUGCACUGAGAACCGGAAAUGGAAUCAGACGGGUUUGGUGACUCAGAAUUGAUUUUUUUUUUUCCAAGGGACAGGGAGGGGGUGUAGAGGAGGGAGGGGAGAGCAGUAAGGUAGGGGGAUGGGGAAAGAGCUGCUUUGCAUAGCUAAGAUGUUUUUGUCAUCAACCCAGAAACUGAGGUACAAGGGCAACCCUUGCCCAAACCCCCUUAAGAGGAAAAGGGUUUGUGUAGCUGACCGAGGGGACUUGGAAGAUGCUGAAGGGCCCCAAGAUAGCAGUUUCUCUGCUCUGUGGCUAUCCUGUCAGUGCAGGACCUGAGCAACUGGGUGUAACUUUCACAAUGCCAUGGCAACCCAAGUGAAACAAAAUUGAGGUUGGGGACCCGGGAGAGUAUCUGUUUGGGAUGCCAAGAAAAGCGGGAAGAACGCAUCUGAGAAAUUUCAAGAAGGGCCUCGGGGAUCUGUAGUCAAAUAAGUGAAGGACUGUUCCCCAUUUACAUGGGGAAGCAGGCCCAGAAAAGAGAUAAUUACCCACAGUCAUCCAACUGGUCAGCGAUGGGAUCCUGAACUGCACCUUGGAGUGAAGGAGCCACACGAAAGGAUCCUCCUGAUGGAGCCAGCUUAUUCCAGAGGUAGCAGGGGCUGAGUUGGAGGAGAGUAACAAAAACCCUAAGAAGUUGGAUGCCAUGACCCUCAUUAAAGAAGACAUGUCCAUCUUCGGGCACUGCCCUGCCCAUGACGACUUCUAUUUGGUUGUAUGUAACCAUUGCAGCCAAGUGGUGAAGCCUCAAGCUUUCCAGAAGCACUGCGAAAGAAGACAUGGGCCCCUCAGCAAGCUCUACACCCGGGCCCCACCUCCACCUCCAGCCCCUGCCAGCUCUCAGAAAUGCCAUGUAGUGAAUGGGCAGGGCCCUGCUUGUAGGGCCCCAGGUUCUACCAAAACCUCCUCCAGGGAGAAGGGCCAGGGGUCUCGCAGCCGUGGCCACCAGCCUCCUGAGAAGACCCAGAAGGACAACCUCUGCCUUUUCGUGCCUGUGGUGAAUCUGGAGAAGAUGUCCAGUCUUCCGAAGCCCGAUGGACAUGGAAUCAGGGUGGCCCCACCCUCUGCUUUCCUCAGCCAGCCAGGUGGCCUCACCAAGGACUCCCCUGGAAAAAAUCCCAUGGCAUCCCCUUCUAAAGAACUUCCUGGCAGAGAGAGCAUCGAGAUAGCCCCCAGUGAGGGCCCCAGUCACCGGACUGAAGGCAGCCCUUCUGAAAAGGAGCCUGGUGGGGUCAAGCUGCCCCCCAAAACCCACCGGAAGAUGGCUCGGAAGGAAUGCGACCUCAACAGGCAGUGUGGGGUAAUAAAUCCAGAGACCAAAAAGAUCUGUACCCGCCUUCUCACCUGCAAGAUCCACUCAGUGCACCAGCGCCGGGAGGUCCAGGGCCGAGCCAAGGAUUUUGACGUGCUGGUGGCAGAGCUGAAGGCCAACUCCCGCAAAGGGGAGUCUCCCAAGGAGAAGAGCCCAGGGCGCAAGGAGGCAGCUCUCGAGCGCCCCUCCCAGGAGCCCCCCGCCUCAGUUCAACUUGUGGCAGCAGUGGCUGCUCCCAGCGGCGCCUUCUCUGCUCGUGCCAAGCCAACCUACCCCUACUGUGCACUGCCCAGGUCCCGGGCCUCCUCUGAGAGUGAGUUGGAUGAUGAAGGCCCUUGUGGUGGUGAUGGGGAUCCAGGCCUGUUCCCCUUCCCCCUGCCCCGGGGUGGGGCCCAGGCCUCCAGCGAGGAGAGUGAGGAGGAGGGGACAUCUGAUGACCUCCACCUCCCUACUGACUGCCAUUAUGCAACCCGGCCCCCUCGGCCACAGGCGUUCUGCACCUUUGGGAGCCGGCUGGUGAGUCCAGGAUGCUACGUGUUUAGCCGCCGGCUGGACCGGUUCUGCUCGGCCCUGAGCUCCAUGCUGGAACGGCACCUCAGCUCCCACAUGUGGAAGAAGAUCCCACCAGCGGCUGAGCCUCCCUCCCACCUUGUCAGCUCCCUCCCAUCUGCUCCCCUGAGCCCAUCCCCUACGGGCAGCAGCCCUCGCCUUCCAGGCCCACCCCCCAGACCUUCCUGCCCUGCCUCCACGCCCCCCACCAAGGACAGCCUUGGCCCCAGCUACCCUGCAGGCUCCCCCAGCGUGGCAGCCGCCUGUAGUCAGGCGGAGUGCAUGGGCGGGAGCCAGGCCAUCACCUCACCACUGCCUGCCAACACGCCGUCCCCGUCCUUCAGCAAGCUCCCACCUUCCAAGGCCAGCAAGUCGUCCAAAGGCAAGGAUAGGCUGGAGGUGGAGGCUCCUUCUCGAAAACGAAAGUUAUCACCGGGCCCCACCACUUUCAAACGGACUUGCAUCCUGGAGCCCACUGGAAAAGGCAAGCCCUCUGGAUGCCGGGGUCUCUCAGCCAAGACUAAACCCGCUCUGGGCCUGGGGCUUAAUGGGACGGUGGGGCCAAGAGUGAAGAGGGCAGGGCCCCUGGACUGUCGGGGUUCCCCUCAUCAGCCCCCCACGCCAGUCAAGGCCUCUCAGCUGGACAGCCAGGCGGUGGCUGGACAUGUGGCCAAGGCCCUGCCGACCACCUGCCUCUCUGAGGAGGAGGUAGCCAAGAAGCGGAAAAACCUGGCCACUUACUGCCGGCCAGUGAAGGCCAAGCACUGCCAGGCCGGCGCCCCUGCCGACGCGGCCUGUUCUGUGCGCCGCAAGAAGCCGGGUCCGGCCCUGGCCUUUGAGGAGAAGUGUUCUGCACUGAAGGUACCAGCCCAGCUCCCUGAAGAGCGGGGGCGGGGAAGGGUCAGGAUGGAUGAGGUUGGCGUGCCCAGCAGGAACCUGACAGAAAGAGGUGCCUAAGUAAAAAAAUUUGUGCAGGGAGGGGAAGACUGGGGAAGUUGAGAGUUCCUGGGCUAUCUUCUCUAGGGAGAGGUGACCCCAGCUCUUGCUUGGUGGGCCUUCCCCUGUCCCCAGCCCUCUCUCUUGGGCUAAGGAGAUGUUGCCUCUGCCUCUUCCCCUUCCCCCACUUUUGCUUUAAUUAAAGGGCCACUUUCUGAAUUGGCUGUGGCCCUCACUCCAGGAACUGGAGCUACCUCUGUUCCCUGAAGGAAAGGAAGUUGGACUCCAUGAGCUCUGAUAAGAAAGUCAAAAGCCCAUUAACAAGAAAGUGCCUGCCCACUGCAAUGGAGCCUCCAGCACCUCCUCCCCUCCAGAUCCGGGCCCCAGGCUGCUGCCGC